Molecule: long non-coding RNA, 952 nt
Filed under: Olea europaea (common olive)
Lineage: Eukaryota; Viridiplantae; Streptophyta; Magnoliopsida; Lamiales; Oleaceae
Description: long non-coding RNA (OEUR_LNC008966)
Source: RNAcentral
UAAAGGAAGGGAUGCCCCCAUGGCACAUCUUCAAGUGGUAAAAGGAGAGGGUGGAGAAAUCCAGCUUUGCUUGAGGCUGCUGCGUCAAGGGUUCGAAUUCUGAAAUAUGGAUUUGGCUUUUGGGUAAGUGCAAGUGUACAAGCAGCCUUCCGCCCUGUACCCUUGGAGGCAUAACCUGCGAUUUACCUCCCUCACGAUACUCCAGGGCAGGGGUAGUGGGGGACCCUUAAGGUUAGGGUUUAACCUUUUUUUUUUUUUAACAAUAAAGGAAGGGAUCUAAGAAGAAUGAAAAAAAAAAUGCUGGAAAAAUAACAAAGAAGGUAACCAUUCCAUCAUGACGGCAUAUCCAAUCCCAAUUUAUAAAUGAAAGCAUGCCAAAUCUUUCAUUGCCAACUUAUUUUUACUUCAACAAAGUCCACAAGCAUGAAUCCUCAAACAUGGCAUUUGAUAAGUGUAUUUUAUACACUUAUGUAGACCUAAAGAUAUAGACUUUUAAUAGUUCUUUAAAACAAUUAUAGCCUAAUUUAUUGUAUAUUUUAUUUAUUAGGUAAAACUCGAUGGUUGGAAGUUAAAUUGAAAGAAAGAAGCGAAAAAGGCGAAAAUUGACGAAGUACAAAGUUGAGGACCAAAUUGCAAAUAUUCAAUGGUUGAAUUGGACCAUAAGAGGUAUUUUCAAGAUUGAUGGGAGCCAAUUGGAUACAAUUAAAAGUAAAAAAGGAGUGGGAUAUCAUUAGAAUAUUACCAUAAAUCAACUUCCAAUCACAUGAUAUAUCUUCCAGAUUUUUCGUCAAGGAUUGUGACCAAUUUUUGGCAUAAUAAACGUCCGAAUUGGAAAAUAUUUAUCUCUAGGAAAAUUGUAACCUUUUUAGUUAGCUUUUCAACACAUUUUGAAUCAACUCAAUUGGAUAUUGAAAGACAAAGUUAUAAUCAAAAUACUGACUGUUGUGCAGAG